AUUUCCCUGUCCUUAUUUGGAACUUCCUGAGGCAGCGUUGAUCGCUGUUAAGCAGUGAAUGAGAGGCAGGAGUGCAAAUCAUCGUCCAGCGCUCACAGUAACUAAUGUUAGCAACAGAAUCCUGCUCCUCUGUUUUAAAACGUCAGCCUCGGCUGAACUAACUGUGUGAAAGAGUUUGUGCAACAGACAAUUUGAUUUACAUUUCAUUUAGGAGUUAUGUUUAAUACAGUCUACAUUGUGCUCUAAAAAGGACGGAUUUAAUGCUUUAACCACAACGCAAGAAUUUUGUGGAGACUAUUUAUGAUAGGCCACAAUACUUUUCAACAGAAGCACAGAAAAUAUAUAACUAGCAAAACUUCAACUUUAUUUUUAUUUUCAGACUGCAACAUAAUUUUAAUACACUAUGGCUGCAAGAUUCAUUGCUAUGCUUUUCAAUGCCUUUAGGGUUAAUGGUUAUGAAUAAUUCGAAAAUGCAACAUUUUAACAUUUAAUAUAGUGAAGGGAUUUAUAAGGCUAUGGGAUUCUAAAUAUAAAAGUGCGCAAAGUUGCUGGCUGGUUGCAAACUUCAUUUUCCAUGUCUCUCGGUUGUGUCACUGAUUAAGGACAACAGAUAGCCGAUAAGGUGAGGGCGAUUCGUCUAAUUGAGGGGUGUCCCCUGCUCAAUAUUCGGGGAAUCUCUCCACCACUCAGCGGCCUCGUUAACAACGCCGCACACGGCUAUAGGACGCCUGCGGGAUGCCGAUGUACCCCCACGGCCGCUCCAACCUCGGCUGCCGCGCCAGCACUCUCUCGGUGAAUGCCGACGGGAAAUCAAUGUGUUUCCCUUGCUGCUGACUAGAUCUUUAUGCAAACAACCUCCUUGGGAGACAUCGUGGGCAGGACACUCUGAGAGGCCCGAGAAAGAGAGACAGAGAAAAUGAGAGACGCAGAGAAAAGAGACAUAUUGGUUUGGUGGGGAGGGCAGCGCAGCAAUGGGAGACGUCACUCCUCUAAGGGCCUGUUACUUAUAAGAAAAACAAGACCAGAAGACGGGAUGUGAUGAUGGUGAAUUACACAAAGUGCAUGGCGAGGGGACCAAAAUCAAGCUCCUGACUGCAUCUGCUGCUGCUCUCAUGCAUCAGUUACUAUUGUCGACAAUUCUAUGGCAAAGCAAAGAAGACCAGAGAGAGCAGGUCCACACACAGCUGUCGGUAAGCUGCUGCUUCUGUAGUUGCUGGCAGCUUGACUGAAAACCAAACAGGAAGUGACGUCACAUCCUUUGCUCCGUGAUAUCACAAGGCUGAGUCGGAGAAAACUGCAGAGUGAAAGGAAGAAAAAAAAAAGACAGAGACAGAGGAGUGUGACUGAUGGGUGGAAAGAGGAAGCUGUCUGUGUUUCGGUUUCUUUCAGUGGCUGUGGCUCAGUCAUCCCAGACUCAGUGGUCUUGUUUAAGGCCAGCCAGACAAAUAAACUAAUCCCAUGUAAGUCACUUAUCUACUUAUCUCUGUCUACUGGGGCUACAGACACAUAGUCUUUACCCUCACAUGAAUCACCACAUAAAAGCUUUUUUUUUUUUUGGAAGCUUCAUAAUCAUACACUAAAUAUUCCUGGAUAGACUUUACUGACGUCAACAGUUGCUAGAUGAGCCUGUGACAUUUGUUCAUUUAGUUCUUACUAUUCUUGUGCUGUGUAACUUUGGUUUCUAAUUCAGUCAGUUGUCCUUUACUUAUGUUUAAGCUUUUCUCACUUUUAUGCAUUUCUAAGAAAUAAAAGUCUCACAAUUACUUGCUCAACUUCACAUCAUCCAGUCACAAGCACAUAAUGCGCAUGUUCAACAAGCUCUCGUUGUUUUGAAGAAGUUGCAAAUUUUACAUUAUCAGUUACUUAUGUUGUGUUGAUCAAAAUGUAUUAUAUGGUUCUCUGUUGAAUAGUGAAUCUUGACUUUCACUAAUGAAGGGGAGUGUGUGAAGCAUUAGAUCAACCAAUGAUCAACCAGUUCUCUACUGUGAAAUAGCUCAGACCUGCAUCUCAUGAAGCUUCAGUUGCCUGCAAGGUGAUGCAAAAGUGGAAGAAGAGGUUUUGGAAACUGUGACGCUAUGCUUUGUCAGCGCUGAGUGCAAUGCAGGGAGCUGGGAGCCUGACUGCUGCUGCAGGAGAGACACAGGAACCAGAGAACAGUGAGGGGAAGACACACACACUCACACAUUCAUGUACACACAAUCACCCCCUGAGACACUCACACAGCCGUGGACGUGUCGCCAUAGUAACACACUGACCCUGGCCUUAAAGUUGUGCUCCCGAGCCUGAUCUCCCACAGAGCCCUGACAAGUGGGGUGGAGUAAAUCUGUCUAUUUAUAGCAAACCCCUCAGCUCAUUUUCUCCUAGUGACAAUAAGAGCUAAUCUACUUUUUCCAAAGCCCACCACAUAUCCCUUACAUCAGCCUACCUACCAGACCCACAGUGGCCAACAGACGGGAAU
Molecule: long non-coding RNA, 2458 nt
Organism: Monopterus albus (swamp eel)
Lineage: Eukaryota; Metazoa; Chordata; Actinopteri; Synbranchiformes; Synbranchidae
Exons: 5
Source: RefSeq, a predicted model, not a curated record